UACGGGGGGGGCAAGCGUUGUUCGGAAUUACUGGGCGUAAAGGGCUCGUAGGGGGCCAACUAAGUCAGACGUGAAAUCCCUCGGCUUAACCGGGGAACUGCGUCUGAUACUGGAUGGCUUGAGUUUGGGAGAGGGACGCGGAAUUCCAGGUGUAGCGGUGAAAUGCGUAGAUAUCUGGAGGAACACCGGUGGCGAAGGCGGCGUCCUGGACCAACACUGACACUGAGGAGCGAAAGCCAGGGGAGCAAACGGG
Molecule: ribosomal RNA, 253 nt
Filed under: uncultured bacterium
Lineage: Bacteria
Description: partial 16S ribosomal RNA
Rfam family: Bacterial small subunit ribosomal RNA
Source: RNAcentral